Molecule: non-coding RNA, 181 nt
Filed under: Labrenzia sp. THAF35
Lineage: Bacteria; Pseudomonadati; Pseudomonadota; Alphaproteobacteria; Hyphomicrobiales; Stappiaceae
Description: Group I catalytic intron
Rfam family: Group I catalytic intron
About the family: Group I catalytic introns are large self-splicing ribozymes. They catalyse their own excision from mRNA, tRNA and rRNA precursors in a wide range of organisms.
Source: RNAcentral
CAAGGGACUUAAGUCAAAAUUGAGUGCUCCGGUGGAAACACCGGAUGUAGAACUGCUCAAAUUCGGGGAACCCUGUCAGAUGGCAAUCCCGAGCCAAGCCUCGCAAGAGGAAGGUGUAGAGACUAGACGGGCAGCACCUAAGGCAUUUGCUACGGUGAAGGUAUAGUCCAGACCACAAACG